CCUGGUAUUAUGUAAUCAUUAGGGGACAGACCACCAGAUAUACCCUGGUAUUAUGUAGCUGAGGAGACAGUCCACCAUAUAAACCCUGGUAUUAUGUAGUCAUGAGGAGACAGACCAGAUAUACCCUGGUAUUAUGUAGUCAUGAGGAGACAGACCACCAGAUACACCCUGGUAUUAUGUAGCUGAGGAUACAGACCACCAGAUAUACCCUGGUAUUAUGUAGCUGAGGAGACAGACCACCAGAUAUACCCUGGUAUUAUGUAGCUGAGGGGACAGACCACCAGAUAUACCCUGGUAUUAUGUAAUCAUUAGGGGACAGACCACCAGAUAUACCCUGGUAUUAUGUAGUCAUUAGGCGACAGACCACCAGAUAUACCCUG
Oncorhynchus tshawytscha (Chinook salmon) is the source of this 380-nucleotide long non-coding RNA. The record is from Ensembl. Lineage: Eukaryota; Metazoa; Chordata; Actinopteri; Salmoniformes; Salmonidae.